This 1372-nucleotide ribosomal RNA is filed under the name uncultured bacterium. Its description in RNAcentral is "partial 16S ribosomal RNA". It matches the Rfam family "Bacterial small subunit ribosomal RNA", at positions 19 to 1385 of the family's 1533-position model. The record is from RNAcentral.
CUGGCUCAGAUUGAACGCUGGCGGCAGCCCUUAUACAUGCAAGUCGAACGAGAAAGUUCCUUCGGGAGCGAGUAAAGUGGCGGACGGGUGAGUAACGCGUAGGAAUCUACCUUUCAGUGGGGGAUAGCUCGGGGAAACUCGAAUUAAUACCGCAUAUACCCUUCGGGGGAAAGGGGGCCUCUCCUUGGAAGCUCUCGCUGUUAGAUGAGCCUGCGUGAGAUUAGCUUGUUGGUAAGGUAAUGGCUUACCAAGGCUACGAUCUCUAGCUGGUCUGAGAGGACGAUCAGCCACACUGGGACUGAGACACGGCCCAGACUCCUACGGGAGGCAGCAGUAGGGAAUAUUGGACAAUGGGGGCAACCCUGAUCCAGGCAUGCCGCGUGUGUGAAGAAGGCCUUAGGGCUGUAAAGCACUUUAAGUGAGGAAGAAAAGAUUUAAAUUAAUACUUUAAGACCCUGACAUUACUCACAGAAUAAGGACCGGCUAACUCCGUGCCAGCAGCCGCGGUAAUACGGAGGGUCCAAGCGUUAAUCGGAAUUACUGGGCGUAAAGCGCGCGUAGAUGGUUUAUUCAGUUGGGGUGUGAAAUCCCAGAGCUUAACUCUGGAACUGCCAUUNAAACUUUUCAGCUAGAGUAUGAUAGAGGAAAGCAGAAUUUCUAGUGUAGAAGGUGAAAUUCGUAGAUAUUAGAAAGAAUACCAAUUGCGAAGGCAGCUUUCUGGAUCAUUACUGACACUGAGGAACGAAAGCAUGGGUAGCGAAGAGGAUUAGAUACCCUCGUAGUCCAUGCCGUAAACGAUGUGUGUUAGACGUUGGAAAUUUAUUUUCAGUGUCGCAGCGAAAGCGAUAAACACACCGCCUGGGGAGUACGACCGCAAGGUUAAAACUCAAAUGAAUUGACGGGGACCCGCACAAGUAGUGGAGCAUGUGGUUUAAUUCGAAGAUACGCGCAGAACCUUACCAACACUUGACAUGUUCGUCGCGACUCUAAGAGAUUAGAGUUUUCGGUUCGGCCGGACGAAACACAGGUGCUGCAUGGCUGUCGUCAGCUCGUGUCGUGAGAUGUUGGGUUAAGUCCCGCAACGAGCGCAACCCUCACUUUUAGUUGCCAUCAUUUAGUUGGGCACUCUGAAAGAACUGCCAGUGAUAAGCUGGAGGAAGGUGGGGAUGACGUCAAGUCCUCAUGGCCCUUACGUGUUGGGCUACACACGUGCUACAAUGGUAUCUACAACAGGAAGCAAGACUGCGAGGUCAAGCAAAUCCUUAAAAGAUACCUCAGUUCGGAUUGCACUCUGCAACUCGAGUGCAUGAAGCUGGAAUUACUAGUAAUCGUGGAUCAGCGUGCCACGGUGAAUGCGUUCCCGGGUCUUGCA